ACUAUUAACAACAGAAAGAAAUAGUUUAUAAGUUAAAACCGCACCUCAGUGUGUCAAAAAUCUAAACGCGAAUUCGCCUACUAACAACACAGUGGUAAGCCCGGCCCAUCCGUAAGCGAACCACUAUAAUAUCACAGUUUAGGCGCGAACUAACCCUAAACCAAAACAAAAUAAAUCCGUAAUUAAUAAAAUAGUGAAAGUGUGAAAGUGAAAACAUUGUGUGAUUAAUUAAGUAGUUCACCUGUCCUUAAUCCUUAUCAUGACCCCUCCAAUUAUACAACCCGCACGCCUCAACAUCGUGCAAAAUCCACUUCAAGCUCAAAUUCCCGUUCCAGAUCCAAUCCCAAUUCCAGUACCAAUCCCUGUUCAAAUUCCAGCUCCAAACCCAGCUCCAAUCCCAAAUCCCGCACCUCGAUUCGUUAUUGAUCGAAACAUUAGUUUCGAGGAUCGCGGAAAAAUUCCGCAAAUUGUUCGAGACCUCCCCGACUUUACCGGUAAUCCACGCGAUUUAAGUCAGUGGAUUUUGGAUGUCGAAGAUGUCCUUGAACUUUUUGAGGACCU
Molecule: long non-coding RNA, 561 nt
Organism: Aedes aegypti (yellow fever mosquito)
Lineage: Eukaryota; Metazoa; Arthropoda; Insecta; Diptera; Culicidae
Exons: 2
Source: RefSeq, a predicted model, not a curated record